RNAcentral lists this ribosomal RNA (256 nucleotides) under uncultured bacterium. RNAcentral describes it as "partial 16S ribosomal RNA". It matches the Rfam family "Bacterial small subunit ribosomal RNA", at positions 524 to 776 of the family's 1533-position model. The record is from RNAcentral.
UACGUAGGGACCAAGCGUUGUCCGGAAUCAUUGGGCGUAAAGAGCGUGUAGGCGGCUUGUUAAGUCUUGUGUGAAAUCUACGGGCUCAACCCCGACGCGGUCAUGAGAACGUGGCAGGCUAGAGUGCGGGAGAGGAGAGGUGGAAUUCCUGGUGUAGCGGUGAAAUGCGCAGAUAUCAGGAAGAACACCCGUGGCGAAGGCGGCUCUCGUGGAACGCAACUGACGCUGAGACGACGAAGCGUGGGGAGCAAACAGG